GAGCUUCUCAACCAGCUUGAAGAGGAGAAAAGAAGGUUGAGGACCUUCAGUUCCGGGUUGAAGAAGAAUCAAUUACCAAAGGUGAUCUUGAGUGGCUACAGUUUCAGAAAAGUCACGUAUAAUGGAACUGGAGAAAGACCUAGCAUUGAGAGUACAGGAAGUAGCUGAGCUCCGAAGAAGGCUAGAGUCCAAUAAGCCUGCUGGGGAUGUGGACAUGUCACUUUCCCUUUUGCAAGAGAUAAGCUCUUUGCAAGAAAAGUUAGAAGUCACCCGUACUGA
This 279-nucleotide long non-coding RNA is filed under the name Homo sapiens (human). RNAcentral's name for it is "non-protein coding lnc-VPS33A-2:1". Lineage: Eukaryota; Metazoa; Chordata; Mammalia; Primates; Hominidae. The record is from RNAcentral.